AUUGAACGCUGGCGGCAUGCCUUACACAUGCAAGUCGAACGGCAGCACGGGAGCAAUCCUGGUGGCGAGUGGCGAACGGGUGAGUAAUAUAUCGGAACGUGCCCAGUCUGGGGGAUAACGUAGCGAAAGCUACGCUAAUACCGCAUACGAUCUAUGGAUGAAAGCGGGGGAUCGCAAGACCUCGCGCGAUUGGAGCGGCCGAUAUCAGAUUAGGUAGUUGGUGAGGUAAAGGCUCACCAAGCCGACGAUCUGUAGCUGGUCUGAGAGGACGACCAGCCACACUGGGACUGAGACACGGCCCAGACUCCUACGGGAGGCAGCAGUGGGGAAUUUUGGACAAAUGGGCGCAAGCCUGAUCCAGCAAUGCCGCGUGCAGGAUGAAGGCCUUCGG
RNAcentral lists this ribosomal RNA (391 nucleotides) under uncultured bacterium. RNAcentral's name for it is "bacterial SSU rRNA". It matches the Rfam family "Bacterial small subunit ribosomal RNA", at positions 30 to 421 of the family's 1533-position model. The record is from RNAcentral.